UACAGAGGGUGCAAGCGUUAAUCGGAAUUACUGGGCGUAAAGCGUGCGUAGACGGUUAUGUAAGUCAGGUGUGAAAGCCCCGGGCUCAACCUGGGAAUGGCAUUUGAGACUGCAUAGCUAGGGUGCGGAAGAGGGAAGCGGAAUUUCCGGUGUAGCGGUGAAAUGCGUAGAUAUCGGAAGGAACAUCAGUGGCGAAAGCGGCUUCCUGGUCCAGCACCGACGUUCAGGCACGAAAGCGUGGGGACGCAAACAGG
Molecule: ribosomal RNA, 254 nt
Filed under: uncultured bacterium
Lineage: Bacteria
Description: partial 16S ribosomal RNA
Rfam family: Bacterial small subunit ribosomal RNA
Source: RNAcentral